AUCGCCCAAAUGUACACCCCAGGCCAAAUUCCCAUCCGUUCUCAUUCAAUUUUUUAAUUUCGACUCGCGCUGCUGUGCUCCGUUGUUGCAACAGAACAGCAGAAAGUAAUAAAAGCUCGGCUCGCAUGCAAUUUUCAUUAGUGGGAAAAUUGCUUGAUAUUUAAGAGGCAACCGAGGAACAAACCGAAUCAACAGCAGCAGCAGCAGGCAGACAGACACACACAUUCCAAACUAAAUUAAUAAUAGGAAAAAAAUAAAAGUUAAAGCCAAAACAAACCAAAACCAAACGAAACACAAUCGAGGGCGCGAGCGGAGUGCCAGAAACGACGAAAAUGUGGCGGCAGUCAACGAUACUGGCCGCGUUAUUAGUGGCUCUUAUAACGGGCUGUGCAGCAGUCAAAAGCAACUCCCCACCAAGAAUCACCAAACAACCGGCACCCGGAGAACUGCUCUUCAAAGUAGCGCAACAGAAUAAGGAAAGUGACAAUCCAUUUAUUAUCGAAUGCGAAGCCGAUGCACAACCCGAACCAGAAUAUAGUUGGGUGAAGAAUGGCAAGAAGUUCGACUGGCAGGCGUACGACAACCGGAUGCUGCGACAGCCUGGCCGCGGCACCCUGGUGAUCACCAUACCCAAGGACGAGGAUCGCGGCCACUACCAGUGCUUUGCGUCCAACGAAUUCGGAACGGCGACCUCGAACUCGGUGUAUGUGCGCAAGGCGGAGCUGAAUGCCUUCAAGGACGAGAUGCCCAAGACUUUGGAGGCGGUGGAGGGCGAGCCCUUCAUGCUCAAGUGUGCCGCCCCCGAUGGCUUUCCCAGUCCGACCGUCAACUGGAUGAUCCAGGAGUCCAUCGACGGCAGCAUCAAGUCGAUCAACAACUCGCGCAUGACCCUCGAUCCCGAGGGCAAUCUCUGGUUCUCGAACGUGACCCGCGAGGAUGCCAGCUCGGACUUCUACUACGCCUGCUCGGCCACCUCCGUUUUCCGCAGCGAGUACAAGAUCGGCAACAAGGUGCUGCUCGACGUCAAGCAGAUGGGCGUGAGUGCCUCGCAGAACAAACACCAGCCCGUCCGCCAGUAUGUUUCGCGUCGCCAGUCGCUGGCGCUGCGCGGCAAGCGCAUGGAACUCUUCUGCAUCUACGGCGGCACUCCGCUGCCGCAGACCGUCUGGAGCAAGGAUGGCCAGCGGAUACAGUGGAGCGACAGGAUCACCCAGGGACACUACGGCAAGUCGCUGGUCAUCAGGCAGACGAACUUCGACGAUGCCGGCACCUACACCUGCGACGUCUCGAACGGCGUCGGCAAUGCCCAGUCCUUCUCGAUCAUCCUCAAUGUCAACUCGGUGCCGUAUUUCACCAAGGAACCCGACUUCCAGACCGCCGCCGAGGACGAGGAGGUGGUCUUCGAGUGCCGCGCCGCCGGUGUGCCCGAGCCGAAGAUCAGUUGGAUUCACAAUGGCAAGCCCAUCGAGCAGACGCCACCGAAUCCCCGGCGAACCGUCACGGACAACACGAUCCGGAUCGUUAAUCUGGUCAAGGGCGAUACGGGUAACUACGGCUGCAACGCCACCAACUCGCUGGGCUACGUCUACAAGGAUGUCUAUCUGAAUGUCCAGGCCGAGCCGCCAACCAUUGAAGUUCCCCCCUCGGACGUCUCCAGUGUGGAUGGGCGAAACAUCACGAUCAAGUGCCGCGUGAAGGGAUCCCCCAAGCCGCUGGUCAAGUGGCUGAGGGCCAGCAACUGGCUGACCGGCGGUCGCUACAAUGUUCAGGCUAACGGCGAUCUGGAGAUCCAGGACGUGACCUUCUCGGAUGCCGGCAAGUACACGUGCUAUGCGCAGAACAAGUUCGGUGAGAUCCAGGCGGACGGGUCGCUGGUGGUCAAGGAGCACACGCGCAUCACCCAGGAGCCGCAGAACUACGAGGUGGCCGCCGGACAGUCGGCCACAUUCCGCUGCAACGAGGCGCACGACGAUACGCUGGAGAUCGAGAUCGAUUGGUGGAAGGACGGGCAGUCGAUUGACUUUGAGGCGCAGCCGCGUUUCGUGAAGACCAACGACAAUUCGCUGACCAUUGCCAAGACCAUGGAGCUGGAUUCGGGCGAGUAUACGUGUGUGGCGAGGACGCGACUGGAUGAGGCAACGGCCAGGGCCAAUUUGAUUGUCCAGGAUGUGCCGAAUGCCCCAAAACUAACGGGCAUCACCUGCCAGGCGGACAAGGCGGAGAUUCAGUGGGAGCCGCAGGGCGACAACCGCUCGCCCAUUCUGCACUACACCAUUCAGUUUAAUACGAGCUUCACGCCCGCCUCGUGGGAUGCCGCGUACGAGAAGGUGCCCAAUACGGACUCCUCCUUCGUUGUCCAAAUGUCGCCGUGGGCCAACUACACGUUCCGUGUGAUCGCCUUCAACAAGAUCGGUGCCUCGCCGCCGUCGGCGCACAGCGACAGCUGCACCACCCAGCCGGAUGUGCCCUUCAAGAAUCCCGACAAUGUCGUCGGCCAGGGCACCGAGCCGAAUAAUCUGGUCAUCUCGUGGACUCCCAUGCCCGAGAUCGAGCACAAUGCGCCCAAUUUCCAUUACUACGUGAGCUGGAAACGCGACAUUCCGGCGGCGUCGUGGGAGAAUAACAACAUCUUUGACUGGCGACAGAACAACAUUGUGAUCGCCGAUCAGCCGACGUUCGUCAAGUAUCUGAUCAAGGUGGUGGCCAUCAACGACAAGGGCGAAUCGAAUGUGGCCGCCGAGGAGGUGGUCGGCUAUUCCGGCGAGGAUCGUCCCCUGGACGCGCCCACCAACUUUACGAUGCGACAGAUCACCUCGUCGACCAGCGGCUAUAUGGCCUGGACACCGGUGAGCGAGGAGUCGGUGAGGGGUCACUUCAAGGGCUACAAGAUCCAGACGUGGACGGAGAACGAGGGCGAGGAGGGUCUGCGGGAGAUCCAUGUGAAGGGCGAUACGCACAACGCCCUGGUCACCCAGUUUAAGCCCGACUCGAAGAACUUUGCCCGCAUCCUGGCCUACAACGGUCGCUUCAAUGGGCCGCCCAGUGCGGUCAUCGAUUUCGAUACACCCGAGGGUGUGCCGUCGCCGGUCCAGGGAUUGGAUGCCUAUCCACUGGGCUCCUCGGCCUUCAUGCUGCACUGGAAGAAGCCGCUGUAUCCCAAUGGCAAGCUCACCGGCUACAAGAUCUACUACGAGGAGGUCAAGGAGAGCUAUGUGGGCGAGCGGCGGGAGUACGAUCCCCAUAUCACCGAUCCCAGGGUCACGCGCAUGAAGAUGGCCGGUCUGAAGCCCAACUCCAAGUAUCGCAUCUCCAUCACGGCCACCACGAAAAUGGGCGAGGGAUCUGAGCACUACAUCGAGAAGACGACGCUGAAGGACGCCAUCAAUGUGGCCCCGGCCACGCCCUCAUUCUCCUGGGAGCAACUGCCCUCCGACAAUGGACUGGCCAAGUUCCGCAUCAACUGGCAGCCAAGUCAGGAAGGUCACCCGGGCACUCACUUCUUCACCAUGUACAGGAUCAAGGGCGAAACCCAGUGGCUGCGCAAGGACGAGGAGAAGAACUCCGACUACCAGGAGGUUAGCGGCCUGGAUCCAGACACCGCCUACGAGUUCCGCGUGGUCUCCGUCGAUGGGCACUUCAAUACGGAGAGUGCCACGCAGGAGAUCGACACGAACACCGUCGAGGGACCGAUCAUACAGCCCAACGAGACGGUGGCGAAUGCAGGUUGGUUCAUCGGCAUGAUGCUGGCCCUGGCCUUCAUCAUUAUCCUGUUCAUCAUCAUCUGCAUUAUCCGGCGCAAUCGGGGCGGCAAGUACGACGUUCACGAUCGGGAGCUGGCCAACGGCCGGCGGGAUUAUCCCGAAGAGGGCGGCUUCCACGAGUACUCGCAACCGUUGGAUAACAAGAGCGCUGGUCGCCAAUCCGUGAGUUCAGCGAACAAACCCGGCGUGGAAAGCGACACCGAUUCGAUGGCCGAAUACGGUGAUGGCGACACAGCUGUGGCCACAGCCGCUGCUCGCGUCGCUGCCGCAGCCCGCAACAAGUCGACGUCCUCCCAACAACAACAGCAGCAGCAGCAACAACAGCAAAUACCGUCGCUACCUCAGUCGCCGUCGACGUCGGCUUCAACCGUUCCAUUGCUCCAACCGCUCUCCUCGGCCUCCUCCUCACCCUCACCCACUUCCACCUCCAACCCCUCCCCCGCCCCGCCCUCCUACGAACUGUGCAUGGCGGAUGCUGAGCCCCGCAAGGCCUAAAAGAGAGUGUGGGGAAAAGAAAGAGAGAGCUCUCCAUUUCUCUCCCCAGUCCGCCGUUGUUGCUAUCCAAUCAGUCAGGCAUGAACGAAGAUGGAUCCUUUAUUGGCCAAUAUGGACGCAAAGGACUUUGAUUUAAUUAGUAAGCAGCGCGCCGCAACAGCAACUCAAAAAAUAUCGAAACCGAGCCCUUUACCCCAAAAAUCAACAAGACCAAACACCAUCACAGCAGAGAAAGAAAAACACGAAUGGAACCAUUCAAGAAAUACUACCCAGCCAUGAAAUGGGUAUCAACUAAUUUUUAUUCGAUUAAGUGCAAAGAACCACGAUUAUUUUAAAGUAUAUAUAAAAUUAGACGUUUUAUAUAUAGCUAUUAAAAUUAAAAAAUUAAAAAUAUGUAAAAAACAAACGCAAAUCAAUACUGCCAAACAACAUGAACAACACAACAGCAACAACAACAACAACAACGAGGAUGCAGCAAAAAGGCUAUUAACACAAUAAAAGUCUUCAUCGGAAGAAGUAGUAAUCGAAAAAGAAAAUGCAUGCGAAUCAAUGAUAAAGGAGAACCAUAUAUUUUUCCGGAAAUAAUCGGGCAGCAGCUGCGUGUAAUUUUUUUUGUUAAGAAAUUUAAGAAACUAUGAGGAAAAUGAAGCUCGCUUUUAAAAUCUCUAUAUUGCGCACACGUCUACCUGUCCCACUCUGUCCCCCGGCACUCUGUAUAUCUCUGUCCCGCUCUCUCCCCUCUUCUACUUGUAAUGCAUAUAUAUUUAUAAAUAUAAAGCGUAAAUAAGUUAUAAUUUAAUAAUUUUUUUAUAAAAACAACACUCGAAUGUAAAAUCUCCGUUUUAGAUUGGCCGUAAAUCGUAAAUCGAAAUGAAACCCCUUUAGCUUACAUGUUUACUACUUUAUUUAAGCCUAUUGUGUGUAUUUUGUUUUUAUUUCUUUAUUUUAUUUUUUUAGUUCGUGUAAUGACUUUGAAUUUUUUGCUUUAAUUUUGGACAGUGAAACAGCGUUUUAAAAUGUAUACACCACAGAUGUAUGUACAAGUUUCCCUGUUUGUUUUCCUUGUUUGUACCGGGAACAGCGACAAAACGAAGUCUAUUUUUUCAGUGUAUUUAAUAUUAAAGAAUGAAUGAAGAGAACAUCAUGAUUAUGAAAAUAUAAUUUUUUUUACAUAUGUUGAUGUACUUUCGCAUAUUAAAUUAGAAAGAAAAUCAAAUGAAAUAAAGAAAACCGAAUAAUAAACAA
RNA transcript from Drosophila takahashii, 5501 nucleotides. It is a transcript of the gene named Neuroglian, with no coding region annotated. Lineage: Eukaryota; Metazoa; Arthropoda; Insecta; Diptera; Drosophilidae. The record is from RefSeq and is a predicted model, not a curated record.